Molecule: long non-coding RNA, 526 nt
Organism: Gadus chalcogrammus (walleye pollock)
Lineage: Eukaryota; Metazoa; Chordata; Actinopteri; Gadiformes; Gadidae
Exons: 3
Source: RefSeq, a predicted model, not a curated record
AUUCAAUAUAAAGAACUCGCCAAGGGCUAUAGGUUGUCUCCGGGCAGAGAUGGCAGAGGAGCUACUGUCCGCAUCAGAGAAAGACUACUGUUCAAUGUGUGGCCUGCAGGAUGUUCCAAGAGACAAAGACAUUGAGGCAGUAGUAAUUGACUGGACCCAGUGUGACUCAUGUGGAAGGUGGUUCCAUGACAUGUGCCUAACAGCAGCCCAGAUGGUACAUGUUCCAGAAGAACUGGCACAAUGGCAAUGUACCCUGUGCGAUAACCAAUAAUUCUAUUUGAUUUCCUGUUCAUAUGUAAAUAUUUCUCAUUGUUGUAAGUUGUAUUCAUUAAAUUACUUAGUGUGUAUAAAAAGUACAGCCUGCCUACAUUUUUUGCACGCAAACUUAUAUAGUAUAGGUCACAGGGUCACAGGUAUGUUUUGAUAUGGGUAGGUCAAAAGGUCAAGCCGCAUAAUAGAUUAUAGCCUUUUUUAACAUUAAAAAAAUAGUAUAAAAUCAAAGGGUAAGUGUUUUGAGAAAAUAAGC